This is a non-coding RNA of Coffea arabica (coffee), 497 nucleotides long. NCBI's taxonomy places the organism in Eukaryota, Viridiplantae, Streptophyta, Magnoliopsida, Gentianales, Rubiaceae. The record is from RefSeq and is a predicted model, not a curated record.
AAAAUCAACCGAUCAGCAUACCCGGUACUCUCUCAGUUAGCGGCUGAUGUAUUGGCCAUUCCUAUCACUACCGUCGCAUCUGAGGCCACCUUUAGUGCUGGAACUAGGGUGAUUGAUUCAUACCGUGCUUCACUUGCUCCGGAGACAGUCCAGACGUUAAUGUGUGCAGGCGAUUGGUGUAGAAAUUUACACGGGGUCAAAAAGAAAUUGAAACCACAGAAAGCUCUCAAAGAAUAUGAGCUGCCCAAUGCUUGAAGUUGUGUAAGGAGCAACUACUUUGCUGAAAAUCAGGUGUUGUAGAUUGUACACCGAAGUUUGAAGAUGCAUAAGGAGCAAACAAGCUGUUUCAUUUACCAGAUUACAAACAAGAGCUUCUAAAUGCUCAUUAGACUCCAGAAAAUUUCCCUAAGUUUUUCCUUUCAAUUGGCUGCAGCACUCCUUUUUGUAUUUUCGUGAAAUUCUGAUGAGGUUGAGAACAGGUUGUUGCUUAUGUUUAA